Molecule: long non-coding RNA, 1364 nt
Filed under: Zostera marina
Lineage: Eukaryota; Viridiplantae; Streptophyta; Magnoliopsida; Alismatales; Zosteraceae
Description: long non-coding RNA (ZMAR_LNC001759)
Source: RNAcentral
UCGGCCUGGGCGCCAGAACUGCGCUGGUUUUUUGUAGUGGGAAGAAGAAGAAGAAGUUGAAGAACUAGAGCACACAACCUUGAAAGCAACUUCUACACAAAGCUUGAAGGAGAGCUAGAGCUUGAGCAAGAGCAAGCGAGAAAGAAUAGAGCUAAUUGAGCAAGAUGGCAAGUGAUGGCAAGUGAUGGCUUUGGCUCUUGGGUGUGCACCUCUUUUUAUAGUAUACGUGAGUGGCAUGGAGGUAAUUUCUUCAUCUUCAAAACUCUUAAGAAGAAGAGCUUGAAUAUAGACGUUGGAGAGACAUGGAGCUUCACUUGAACUUGAAUUUGAUCUUGGGGGAUUGUGUAGCAUUUAAUUCAAGAUCAUGAUUGUGUUUUAUUUUGGGAGAUUGAACCUCCACACAUUUUGCCUUGCUCCAAUUUGAAUUCUUCUGCUAAGAUUUUGUGUAGCAUUGAUUCCAAGAUCUUGUAGUUAAUAUGUUGGAUAUGCUCUUGUAAUUUAUCAUGAUUGCACUUUUACACGUUUUCUACACCUUGGAUCCAUUUGAAGCUUGGAUGACUAGUUGAAGCUUUCACACCUUGUUGAUUAACCUUUAAGACAUUGAUCAACUUGAAACAAAAGAUAAUAUUGCAAGUAAAUAGGUGUGCAUAAUUAAAUAAAAACUUCAAUAAUUAACUUGAUCAAUAGUAGAGAUUUGUUUGAUGGAAAUAAUUAAUACUAAUCUCACUUUAGUUUAAUCACAUAUCAAGUCAAUUUUAUCUAUAUGAGUUUAAUUGAUUUAUUCAUGUAACUUUAACUCAUAUAUUUCUAUCUCUUGUUAAUUAGGCUUUAUUAUAUUUUAAAUUAAUUAACAACUAAAUAUGUCAUUGAGAAUCUUAUUUCUACAGAUUCAUCAGCAGUUCACCGCACAAAUCAGGAUUGGCCUCAAAAUCUCCCGACUUGUGAAACGCAAAAGCCUCCGCCACUGCCGGAAUAGCACCGGAGAGAUUGUUGUAAGAGAGAUCGACGAUUACAUUUCUCCUGAAAAGUGGACCCAGAACACGACGACGGAGACCACCUUACCAGUAGAAUAAAGAACACAGAACACCACAACACCGGGAUCCACCUUAAUAGUCGAAGAACCGACUACAGAACCCACCCUGAACACCGGAACUAAAAAGUCAGAACACCAGAAAAUCGGAGCGCAUAAACCAACUUACAGUCAAUAGGAAGGAAAGAUUGGAUUCAGAAAGAAGAGUGUAAAAACGUUUGUGUUGUAGGAAGUUAAGGAAGGGGGUUUAAGGUGGUAAUGGGUUAGAAACUUUGGUCUUGGUAGAAGCCGGUAAGAGGUAGAAGACGGUAGAAGUAGAAGACGGUGGUCUUGG